AUCGUCGGCAGCGUCAGAUGUGUAUAAGAGACAGGUGAAUCAUCGAAUCUUUGAACGCAUAUGGCACCUGCCAGCCCUGCUGGAAGGUAUGCCUGUUUGAGAAUCAUAUUCAUUCUUUGAUCCCAUUCACACUCGUGAUUGUGAUCGACCUGGGCCUUCACCACUGAUUGCCUCGAAUUGCUCGCGAUCGUCGUGUCAUGUCUCACUCGACAUUAUUGACGAUCACACAACCACCCCCAAACAUGAUCUCAAAUCAGGCAAGACUACCCGCUGAACUUAAGCAUAUCAAUAAGCGGAGGA
RNAcentral lists this unclassified non-coding RNA (300 nucleotides) under uncultured fungus. RNAcentral's name for it is "sequence contains 5.8S rRNA gene, ITS2". The stretch from base 244 to 300 matches the Rfam family "Eukaryotic large subunit ribosomal RNA", at positions 1 to 57 of the family's 3401-position model. The record is from RNAcentral. Lineage: Eukaryota; Fungi.